CAGAAAUGGACUUUGAAAUGCUUGUUUUGGCAUCACAUAGAAGAUUAGCAUGACCUCUGAGCAAGGAUUACACACAUUUGUGAAAUAUUUCAAAUUUUU
Molecule: small nuclear RNA, 99 nt
Filed under: Notamacropus eugenii (tammar wallaby)
Lineage: Eukaryota; Metazoa; Chordata; Mammalia; Diprotodontia; Macropodidae
Source: RNAcentral